Molecule: small nucleolar RNA, 134 nt
Organism: Carcharodon carcharias (great white shark)
Lineage: Eukaryota; Metazoa; Chordata; Chondrichthyes; Lamniformes; Lamnidae
Product: small nucleolar RNA U109
Exons: 1
Source: RefSeq, a predicted model, not a curated record
CUGAAUGGAGUUGAUUUCUGCUCCUUUUUCAAUAAGGAGUAUGAUAUUCCAGCAACGUGCUAGAGUGACUGAGGAUAAUAGGGCCGUUAGCCUCAAAAGAACAGGCUGAACGGUAGUAUAAGUCUGCAACAAGA